This is a non-coding RNA of Delphinapterus leucas (beluga whale), 1789 nucleotides long. NCBI's taxonomy places the organism in Eukaryota, Metazoa, Chordata, Mammalia, Artiodactyla, Monodontidae. The record is from RefSeq and is a predicted model, not a curated record.
UCCAUCAAAACUGUCCUCCUCCCCUUACUGGAUUAUUGCUGACGCUUCCUAGCUGGGUCUCGCCCUUCUAGUCCCUCCUGAAAAUCAAACUCUUUCUCAUUCACCAUCAAAAAUGUUGCUCCAUAACCUGGGAAUUUCCUGUCAUCGAUCAAAUCCACCCUCAAUUCUUAAGAAUCACACUCAAGUACUCAAGAUCCUUCUUGAGCCAGCCUCCUCCCUCGGAACUCCCCUCCAGUGCCCAGCCCAGCGUGAUGCUCAGACACACCUUGUUAAAUGAGAAACCAGGCUAAGCACCAUCGCAGCCCAGCCCUUCCAGGUACUUCGCUGAUCCCAGGGCCCCAAAGUGAACCGAGCUCUGCAUGGUGUCCACGAGGGGCUGCUCCUUUACCUGUCUCAUCACUAUACUCCCCGUCGGGACACUCCACGCACUCAAAGCAGCAGGUGGGCUCCCCCUCAAUGAUUCCUUUCCUGGUCCCUGCCAGGCAGUCUCGGCUGCAGUUGGAGAAAGGCACCUGGAGGACAGAGAUCACAACAGUGAGGGGCUGCAGCCGCAGGAUCAGUCUUCCAGCUCCACUGACACGGGUUUUAUAGGGUGAUUUCUGAGAUCCUUGCAACAGCUCAGUGAGGCAGGCAGGACAGGCAUGGAGGAGUCGGAAGUAAAUGGAUCAGAAAAAUAUAUCAGUGAACUUCUAUCUAAGUGAAGGAUGUACCUGCCAAGCUUCAACCUUCUUGAUAUCUGCACAGGAACCGUUGGUGAAGAGCCCUCUCCCAGUAAAGGCAGAAGAACGGCCAUUUACUGAUGGAAUGGAGUGGAAAAUAAAUAACUGAACCCUUUGGAAUAAAAGACAAAGUUUUAUACAAGCUAUCAGGAAGACCAAGGGAAAGUGCUGGAUCCCUUCUGGAAGUUGCAAAUCUCAAGAGAAAGUGCUCUUCUCUCUUACAAGAUGGGUCAAGACUUGAGCUUUCAGACGUCCAUAACUGUUGGAGCAUGGCUUGGUCAACUGUGGGGUCGUUGUGUGAAUGGAGAAAAGAACUCCUAUGGGCCAGAUACAACCUUGUACCAAGAUGUCCAGCUUGGGGAGUGGAGCACAGGUUGGAUUUCUACCCACACUAACCCCUCAGUUGUGCAGUGAGCAACUUUGAGGACUCCUUAAGGAGGCCUGCCCUGGACUCUCAGAUUAGGUAGGUCCACCUGUUAUAGUCUUUUAUAUCUUGGAUUUUGGAGUUCCUCUCUUGGAAGAUUGAUCAUACUUUGUUAUAAUUAGAUGCAUAAAUGUCUGAUUCCAGACCCCAAGCUCUUAACCAUUGUCAUAUGCUGCCCCUGCCCCUUAGGAAGGGGGCUCUUUCUCCUACAGCGUUACAAGUAGAGGGUGCUGGGCCCCGAAUGGAAGGAGCACCCCAGCAGACACUCAACAGUCACAGAACUGUCUGAAAUAACAUCUGAACAUCCAUGACCAUCCUAGUUCUCUGACUCCAGUCCUGCUCUUAGAUUUUUGGCUUCAUUUCUUAACCUUGGUCAUAUAUUCAUUCAUACAUUUAAUAAGUACAUGUGCUAAGGACUGGAAAUAUAAAGGUACCACACACAUCAUGUUCCCUGCCCUCAGGAGCUCCCCAGCCAGUGGGCAGAAGUUACCUCAACAUUCAGAAGAGAAAAAAAUAUAUAUAGUAUAUAUAUUGUUGUUUCCAAUGACUAAAUUCAACUUUGCUCCCCAGUACUUAGCACAAUGUCUGAAAUAGUAACUGUUGAAUAAAUGCUGGUUGAAUGCAUGCACAAGAAAAGAAAAUACUU